AAAAAAGUACUUGGGUAUGACUUCUUAUGACCAAAAGUUUCUGAUGUUCAGUAGGGGAAGCCAUUUGCUUCACAGAAAGGGGAGAGAAUGCCAGAGAGCAACCCAAAGGGCUGAGCAUGAGGCAAGGCCAGGAUGGGGCCAGUGAUGUCCCCUCAGUAGCCAUCCACAGCCCAACACUCACUGCAGCAUUUGCUGGUGCCACAUCUUUCCAGUGCUGAGCCAAAUGUACAACUCGUAGCCAAAUUUUGGAAACAAAUCAUAGACCUCCUCCAAGGGCUCCUCCAUGUGGUCACCUAUUGGCACCUCUGUGUGCCUACACUCCCAACUAUUUCCACCAAUAACCUGUUCCAGCCCUACUUACAGCACAAUAGCAUUAAAAGCAAUAAGUAAAGCAUAUUUAGGCCUCCAAGCUCACACAGACUUGUCCAUAGCAUGAUACAUACCUGGGGAGCACUGCUAGGAGCCAGGAAACAAGCCACAUACUGCAUCCAAGCCUGAAAUCUUCCAAAGAACCCUACAACUGCUGCCUUGAGUACUUUUAAAGCCUGGGACUGAAGGCCCGAACAGGCCUUAACCGUCCCAACCAGGCCCACCUGUGGCCCCCCACACUCCCUGACCCCAGCAGCUGUGCUGGAGCUCCAUCCUCCCACCUGCGUGUGUGUUCCUGGGACCAGUGUUAUCCUCCACGUUCCUUGCUCAGGGGGCUGCUGUUCUCAAUCUCAUCCCCACAGCACCCUGGGGAUGGCACUGGGGGUCACAGUUUCACCUCUUCCUUUCCGCAAAGCUCAGCAUUUCACUCUAAUUGUGUUUUGGCUGGAAGCUGCAGAAGAAGGAAAUGAUUAUGGGUUUUACUAUCUCUUACAAUUCAGCACAAGUGCCGUGGAGCAGCUGUGGCUGAAAUGAUGAAGUACUUAUAGUGCUUUUUUUCUGUCACAGGUGUUUCUCUUCCACUAUAAUAAAGACUCACUUGUAUCACACUAACACAUAAGUGUACAUUGAUUAAACCUACUGACACCUGGUUCCAAAGCCAGUGAGAAAAACAACUUGCAGAUGACCCUCUAUUUGUAUACUUAAAAAAACCUCUUUAUUUGAAAUAUGCUAUCUGUAUGGUCUCUAUGCCACAUGCAGCAGCAGUGCAGGGGUUCUUACUCCACAAAUGUUAUUGCAUUGUGGUAUUUUCAUCAGUAGCUCUCUAGGAGGUAAAUCUAGAGGUCUUUACAUGGAAUCUAACAGAAAAAAUGUUAUUGCUUUUUCUAGUAUUUUCUUUUAUUAUUUUUCUCCCCUCUAGCAGUGGGAUAUAUAAAGCUGAAGCCACCAUGCAUUUAAAACCAAUAUAAUUUUUAGGAAUCAUUCUAGAGUUAAUCCACUAUGACCGAAGGUGAGAUAAUUUAGGACUUCAUUUAAAAUCCACUAACAUUGAUUUCUGACUGCUUUUCCUCCCACAGGGCCACAAAUCAGGAGGAAAGCUGUCAGGCCCUGGCAGCAGACCCCAGCAGCAGCUCUUCUCUGAGGUCCUAACGUGGGAUCCUACAGCUCAAGUUUUUCCUGCUUCCUUAAUAAUAUGGGUGGGAAGGAGAGAGGCUUUGGGAUGAUAUGUGUGUGUGUGUAAGCCUCUGCAUGAGAGGAAGGACAUCAAAGGGAAGCAGUCAGGAAGUAGGAGAGCCAGCAUCCAAGUGGCAGUGGGGAAAAAAGGUCAGUGAAGAGACAUGCUUUGGUUUCAUUCACCACAGUUUGUGUAGGUUACAAAGCCAAGCUCAGUAUGGCUUGGGGGGGAAAAAAAAAAAACACACAAAAAAAACAACCCAACAGACUAAGACACAGAAAUCCUGAAAGCAGCAGGAUUUUUAACUGCAGCUGAUGAUCCAGCUCCCAAGCAGACAAAUUACUCCAUGAGAAGAGUGGUGCAACCAGCCCCUUUUCAAUUACAGAAAGCUAACACAAUCAGCUCCUAUUCUUUUUAAAUAGGUCUGGUGGGUUUAAAUGAAUGAGCGUAAUAUGUGGUCCAUUUAUUUUCAGGAACACUGCAGUGAAAGUUGCUUCAUGGAAUCACUGCAAAAAUCCUGAGUAAAGAAAAUCAAUAGGAACUAUCCACCUUUCUUUAAAUAACAAUUAAAAAUAAAAGGCAUUUUUUUUCCUUAAAGCUCAAUUCACUGUGGCACUGUUACUGACCUUGGUUAAGACAUGGUCAGUGCUUGUAUGGGGGCUUCCUUCAGUCACGUUUGCAGAAGCUCCUCUUCCUCAGGCUAUAGGGUUAUCUACAGAUCUGCUUGAGGCUGAAUCGCAAGGAGAAAACUCAUCUUGGAAACCAAGGCUGAUGGCUUUUUGUUGUCACUUUGUGUGGGAGGGGCGAAUUCAUAUCUUCAUUGCCUGUAUCGGGACACCAGUUCCCCAUGAUGUGCUCCCCCGGUAUGGCCAAUCUGUGUUUGGUAUGGUUGAGUUAGGAAGAAUGCCCUGCCAGCCCAGCCUGUGGCAUUGCUGCCCAUAGCACUCCAGUUUUGAGGUGUUCACUGCAGUUUGGGGAACUUUGUGGGCUCAGCAGACCCAACCAUUGAAGUGCUGGUGCAAGUCCUGAUGAAAGUUGUUCAGCACAAGUCCCAGAAGCAGAACAGUGAAGUUCCAAUAAUCCAUUUGGUCUCUCUUGAUUAAAUACUUUACUUUCAUUAGGCAAAGAAAAGAGUCCCCAGUGGUUUCUGCUGCAUCUGUCAUGAUAGCACCGGGCAACGCAUUUGUUGUUUGAGAUCUAAGAAUGAGUCACUGGCACUUUGGGACAUGAGGUCCUCACCACCAGAACGCAAAUGGUUCUGCCAGCAAUUUCCCCUCUCAAAUACUGGCUUAGCUCAGCCAUGGCUGCAUGCAGCCCCAUUCUCAUCAUUAGCAGCCAUCAGCAGGUGGUUGUGCUUGCUCUCAGAACAAGAUCAGAUGAGAUGCACAUUUCUGGCAUUUAUAGAAAGCUGCUCGUUCUCCUGCAUGUACCAUCUUAUGUAGCCUGGCUCCUUGUGAAGGGCUGUAGGAAGGUGCAAAACCCAGCUAUCUUAAAUGAAGAUACAGUUCUUUUCAACAUCAUAUAUCAUGUAUUGUUCUUGUAUAUCAUAUAUCUAAUAGACAAAAUUGUCUCUGGGGUUGGUAGGGGUAGGUAUCUCAGAUAACAUGGAGAUUAAUAUGGGAAAGUGUCUACACCAGACUUAAAAACGUGUGACUGCUUAACAUUAAUUGGCAGUCAAUUAAAUUGAGGUAAGAAGUGCCCAUAGUGGACAAACUCAGAGGAAAAGAGCUCACUCUGCUGUAUAUGUUAAUUUUAAAUCACUGGAACUGUAAUUUCAAAGCUAAGUCUUUUCCAACAUGACCAAGGAUUAAUCUAUCUUCAUUCACAUUCCAACAGAGAUAAGUACAUUGCUUAAACAAAGCCAUUUUUCAGUUUUCUGUGCUUUAGAAAUAAGCCAGGGCCCUUUUGGAUGGAAUAUAUAUCAUAAUUUUAAGUGACUGCUCUUUAAAGUUCUCCUUCCAGACUGGGAAAACAUCGGGGUGGAGGGAGGGAUUUCCCUCUCUCACAACAUACCUGGGCAAGUCCAGGAAUCAUCCCAGCUCCAGGAGGAAACCUCACUCUUCCACGAGGCUGUAUUGCUCCUGAGUAUGAAGAACUGAGAUCUUAUUUUCUUCUUGCUCCAAAAAUGGAAAGGCUUGGGAUAACAUGAAAUUGGAAUCAACAGCCAAAGAGAGAGAACUAUGUAUUUUAUUGCAAGAGCUUUCAUUGGGAUGUUAAGGGUAUUUGCUUCACUGCAAAUUGUUAUUAUGUACACCAUAUGGAUUUCUAUCAGACUCUUUUCUUCAUUCUCUCUCUAAAAAAAAAAGUUAUCAUUGCUCAGGGCAUUAUUAGGGAUUCACUUUGUGGUGUCUGAAAUUAAUGUAAAUUGAAGGCAGUCCUGCAGGUGCCGAGGUGAGGUUCUGAAGUUUACUAUGAUGUGAAGCAAAGAAAGAGCUGAAAAAGCAUGAAGAUACUCAUCAAAAUGCUCCAUUUUAGCUGCACGGAUUUUUCUAUUUUCAAAAGGCAGCAGAGGUGAGACUAUCAUAGCAGUUAAGAAAUGGAGGUUUUGUUGAGCUUGCACAUCUAGAUAAAUGAAACCUCGCUGUGAGAUGUGAGUGAACAAAGAAUACGUUGGAGCUGGGACAGCCUGUGGUGCCAGCAAGGGGCCCUGCUCCCCAUGCACCCCAUCUGCUGCAACUACACAUAGAAUCAUUAAGGUUAGAAAAGACCUCUAAGAUCACCAAGUCCAACCAUCAAGCAAGCCCCACCAUGUCCACUGGCCAUGUCCCUCAGUGCCACAUCUCCACAGUUCUUGAACACCUCCAGGGACAGCAACUCCAUCACCUUCUGGGCAGCCUGUGGCCAAUGCACCACUGCUCUUUUCCUACUAUCCAACCUGAACCUCCCCAGCACAACUUGAGGCCAUUAUCUCAUGUCCUAUCACUAGCUAAUGUGCUCCACCCUGCAAAAAAAAA
Molecule: long non-coding RNA, 4497 nt
Filed under: Gallus gallus (chicken)
Lineage: Eukaryota; Metazoa; Chordata; Aves; Galliformes; Phasianidae
Description: lncRNA (ENSGALG00010018779.1)
Source: RNAcentral